AGUCGACUCGUAAUAUUCCGGAGUCGACUCGAGUCUCAGACUUUGGUUCAACUUGACUUCUUAACUUAUCCAAAAUAUCUUGAACCAAAUCUAGAUGCACUUAACCAUAAAUUUAUAAGAUUUUCACUGAAACACUAGAUUGAAUUCAUUAGUAAACAUAAGAUAUACUCAAAUACUUUGAGCUCAUCAAAAUCAAAUAGGGUUAUGAUCAAUCACUCCACAAUCUCCCCCUUUUUGAUGAUAACAAAACAUUGAGUAUAUGUAAAGUGAAUUGCACAACAAACAAGGAAAUUUAUAAUAAAAUUUUUGAAAUGAAUUCAAGUGUCUGGUUAUUUAAUUUAUCCAAACUUGAAAGGUGUGAAACAAUAAAUUUCAAAGUUAGAGCUCCCCCUUUCAUUUGGAAUUAUAUAAGCCUUCAUGUCAUGCAAUCAAUUGUUUGGCUUAUAUAUAUUUAAUAAUUUUGCUUUCUUAAAAAUUCAGAUUCUCCCUCUCAAUAUAUGCAUUCAACUUUGUUUUGAUUCCCUGAAUUUUCUUUUAGUGCAUUGAAGCUUUUGAACUUAAAUUUUUUUGGUUUUUAGAGGGAAAAUCCGCCAAUUUGUUCUUGAGUAUGAUUCAACUAAUCUCCGAAUAUUCCUUGAAUAGAUUCUGGAGAUUCCUCCAUUAGGAGCCCCAACAGAGAGAUAAUGAGCCUCGAGGUAUUGAAUCCACUGAGAACAAAUUAUUGUGUGUUUUAAAAGUUUUUCUUUUUAUUAAUUUUCAUUGAUUCCUUUU
Molecule: long non-coding RNA, 771 nt
Filed under: Phoenix dactylifera (date palm)
Lineage: Eukaryota; Viridiplantae; Streptophyta; Magnoliopsida; Arecales; Arecaceae
Description: long non-coding RNA (PDAC_LNC015974)
Source: RNAcentral